Molecule: ribosomal RNA, 497 nt
Filed under: uncultured bacterium
Lineage: Bacteria
Description: partial 16S ribosomal RNA
Rfam family: Bacterial small subunit ribosomal RNA
Source: RNAcentral
GAUGAACGCUGGCGGCGUGCCUAAUACAUGCAAGUCGAGCGAACGGACGAGAAGCUUGCUUCUCUGAUGUUAGCAGCGGACGGGUGAGUAACACGUGGAUAACCUACCUAUAAGACUGGGAUAACUUCGGGAAACCGGAGCUAAUACCGGAUAAUAUUUUGAACCGCAUGGUUCAAAAGUGAAAGACGGUCUUGCUGUCACUUAUAGAUGGAUCCGCGCUGCAUUAGCUAGUUGGUAAGGUAACGGCUUACCAAGGCAACGAUGCAUAGCCGACCUGAGAGGGUGAUCGGCCACACUGGAACUGAGACACGGUCCAGACUCCUACGGGAGGCAGCAGUAGGGAAUCUUCCGCAAUGGGCGAAAGCCUGACGGAGCAACGCCGCGUGAGUGAUGAAGGUCUUCGGAUCGUAAAACUCUGUUAUUAGGGAAGAACAUAUGUGUAAGUAACUGUGCGCAUCUUGACGGUACCUAAUCAGAAAGCCACGGCUAACUACGUG